GCAUAUUUGAGAUAAAAUAAAUGGUAGCCUCCAAGAAAAUGUUGAAAAAUUGAUCAAUAAGAUCCCGAUUCAAAUGUUUCAGUACAUUGUGUAGAACUCUCAUGAUAACAGCUGCCGUUGACCAACUUGCACUUUUCAAGCUGAGCUUCAUUAAAGAAGAAGGUGAAGGAUCCCCACUCAAGUCUUUGACCUCCAUCUUAUGUCCCAUAGAAGAAAGACCAUUAAAAAUCGAAAUUU
This 237-nucleotide unclassified non-coding RNA is filed under the name Hevea brasiliensis (rubber tree). The record is from RNAcentral. Lineage: Eukaryota; Viridiplantae; Streptophyta; Magnoliopsida; Malpighiales; Euphorbiaceae.